UGGCUGUCGUCAGCUCGUGUCGUGAGAUGUCGGGUUAAGUCCCGCAGCGAGCGCAACCCUUGCCUUUAGUUUGCCAGCAGUUCGGCUGGGCACUCUAAAGGGACUGCCGGUGUUAAACCGGAGGAAGGUGGGGAUGACGUCAAGUCCUCAUGGCCUUUAUGACCAGGGCUACACACGUACUACAAUGGCCGAUACAAAGGGCAGCGACACUGCGAGGUGAAGCCAAUCCCGUAAAAUCGGUCUCAGUCCGGAUUGGAGUCUGCAACUCGACUCCAUGAAGUUGGAAUCGCUAGUAAUCGUGGAUCAGAAUGUCACGGUGAAUACGUUCCCGGGCCUU
Molecule: ribosomal RNA, 337 nt
Filed under: uncultured Desulfobulbus sp.
Lineage: Bacteria; Pseudomonadati; Thermodesulfobacteriota; Desulfobulbia; Desulfobulbales; Desulfobulbaceae
Description: bacterial SSU rRNA
Rfam family: Bacterial small subunit ribosomal RNA
Source: RNAcentral